Molecule: ribosomal RNA, 429 nt
Filed under: Acidobacteriota bacterium
Lineage: Bacteria; Pseudomonadati; Acidobacteriota
Description: Acidobacteria bacterium partial 16S ribosomal RNA
Rfam family: Bacterial small subunit ribosomal RNA
Source: RNAcentral
UGGGGAAUUUUGGACAAUGGGGGAAACCCUGAUCCAGCCAUCCCGCGUGUGCGAUGAAGGCCUUCGGGUUGUAAAGCACUUUUGGCAGGAAAGAAACGUCAUGGGUUAAUACCCCGUGAAACUGACGGUACCUGCAGAAUAAGCACCGGCUAACUACGUGCCAGCAGCCGCGGUAAUACGUAGGGUGCAAGCGUUAAUCGGAAUUACUGGGCGUAAAGCGUGCGCAGGCGGUUCGGAAAGAAAGAUGUGAAAUCCCGGAGCUCAACUUUGGAACUGCAUUUUUAACUACAGGGCUAGAGUGUGUCAGAGGAAGGUGGAAUUCCGCGUGUAGCAGUGAAAUGCGUGGAUAUGCGGAGGAACACCGAUGGCGAAGGCAGCCUCCUGGGAUAACACUGACGCUCAUGCACGAAAGCGUGGGGAGCAAACAGG